Zalophus californianus (California sea lion) is the source of this 1834-nucleotide RNA transcript. It is a transcript of the gene named flavin adenine dinucleotide synthetase 1, with no coding region annotated. The transcript is spliced from 8 exons. Lineage: Eukaryota; Metazoa; Chordata; Mammalia; Carnivora; Otariidae. The record is from RefSeq and is a predicted model, not a curated record.
GCAGAGGGCACGAGCCGGGGAAGGGCCGGAGAGGCAGGCUAUGGCCCCCAGUGCCCUGUAGACCUGGCGCGACUCCCGUGCUUUCGACCCCUAUUUGGGGCCCUGGGUGGCUUCUGGAGGGCCUUGCCGAGGGGCAGAGAAGGCAGGACCAUGGCAUCUAGGGCCUUUGAACCUCCCUCAGGGCGCAGCGUGACGGCGGGCAUCAUCAUUGUUGGAGAUGAGAUCCUCAAGGGACACACUCAGGACACCAACACCUACUUUCUGUGCCGGACACUGCGCUCCCUGGGGGUCCAGGUGUGCCGAGUCUCUGUCGUCCCCGAUGAGGUCGCCACCAUUGCGGCUGAGGUCACUUCUUUCUCCAGCCGCUUCACCCACGUCCUCACAGCAGGGGGCAUCGGCCCCACUCAUGACGAUGUGACCUUCGAGGCAGUAGCCCAGGCCUUUGGGGACGAGCUCAAGCCACACCCCGAGCUGGAAGCCGCCGUCAAAGCCCUAGGAGGGAAGGGCUGGGAGAAGCUGUCUCUCGUUCCCUCCUCCGCCCGCCUCCAUUACGGCACCGAUCCUCGCACCGGCCAGCCCUUCAAAUUGCCGCUGGUCUCCGUCCGAAAUGUCUACCUCUUCCCCGGCAUUCCAGAGCUGCUGCGGCGGGUGCUGGAGGGGCUGAAGGGGCUGUUCCAGAACACAGCCGUGCAGUUUCACCUGCGGGAGCUCUAUGUGGCGGCCGAUGAGGCCUCUAUUGCCCCCAUCCUUGCCGAGGCUCAGGCCCACUUUGGGCGCCGGCUCGGCCUGGGUUCCUAUCCUGACUGGGGCAGCAACUACUAUCAGGUGAAGCUGACGCUGGACUCAGAGGACGAAGGGCCCCUGGAGGAAGGCCUGGCCUACCUGACCGCCCGUCUGCCCCCGGGGUCGUUGGUCCCCUACGUGCCCGACGCCGUGCAGCAGGCCAGUGAGGCCGUGUACAAACUCGCGGGAUCAGGGUCUUCUCUGGGGGAGAAGGUGGCAGGCGCCCUGCAGACCAUUGAGACUGCCCUGGCCCGGUACGACCUCGCCCGCCUCUGCGUGGGCUUCAAUGGAGGCAAGGACUGCACGGCACUCCUGCACCUCUUCCACGCGGCCGUGCAGAGGACGCGCCCUGACGCUCAGGAGCCCCUCCAGGUCCUGUAUGUCCGCAGCAUCUCCCCCUUCCCCGAGCUGGAGCAGUUUCUACAGGACACCAUCAAGAGGUACAAUCUGCAGGUCCUGGAGGCUGAGGGUGACAUGAAGCAGGCCCUGAGUGAGCUGCAGACGCGGCACCCCCAGUUGGAGGCUGUCCUGAUGGGCACCCGCCGCACAGACCCCUACUCCUGCAGCCUCUGCCCCUUCAGCCCCACUGACCCCAGCUGGCCUUCCUUCAUGCGCAUCAACCCGCUGCUGAGAGCAAGCUGCACCAGAGAAUCAGAUAGGAGCCUUCCUCAGGGCCAAGAAGCAGAAGAGCCCAAGCGGGCCCCUUCCCAGGUGGCAAGGGGUGAGUGAGGAAGAGGGGGACUUUGUGACUCCGCUCUGACCUCCCAGGACUGGACCUACAGAGACAUCUGGGACUUCCUGCGCCAGCUGUUUGUCCCAUACUGUGUUCUGUACGACCGAGGCUACACCUCGCUGGGGGGCCGGGAGAACACGGUGCGGAACCCCGCCCUGAAGUACCUGAGCCCAGGAGGACAGCCCGCCUACCGUCCAGCCUACCUGCUGGAGAACGAAGACGAGGAGCGCAACUCCCGCACAUGAGCCCGCAGUCCUGCCCACUGCAGGGGUGGGGAAGGAGGUGGUCCUGGGGUGUCGCCUGUCAAUAAAGUGUGCC